Long non-coding RNA from Aplysia californica (California sea hare), 524 nucleotides. RefSeq lists it as uncharacterized. The transcript is spliced from 2 exons. The record is from RefSeq and is a predicted model, not a curated record. Lineage: Eukaryota; Metazoa; Mollusca; Gastropoda; Aplysiida; Aplysiidae.
UCAUAUAAUCAGGCCACCUGCGCGCUACUGACCUAGAUUCCUUGUGGGCUGACACACCCGUGUAGUAGGCCCACAACCUUGUAGAUCAUUAGUAGUGAUAAGCCUACGCAGGGUGCGGCGGUCAGUUUGAAUUGUUGUUUGCUCAUGCUUUGACAUUGGAUUAUUUCUGCCUAAUGCAGUUUGCUUUUCAAGUCAUCUGGAUUAUGUGGAUAUUUUCUACAUCAUUGUGUGUGUUGAGGAACAGAAGUGGUGACUAAUUAAUUAAUUAAUUAAGAUUGACCAACAGUUUUGAGAUCGCAAAUUUGAAGUGCUGUUUGGCUGCACUGUAGGCCUACUGUUCGUUUUCAGAUUCUUCAUCACCAUAGUACUCAAUGCUUUUUUCAUCUGGAUUGUGUGAAUAUCAAAUAUCUCUUCCAUCAGUUGCUUACAUGCUUCUCUUCUAGGCCUAUUUCUUGCUUUCAUCAUGUGUGGUUAUGACUCUGUUGGACUGUGACUGACACCUUCAAAAUAAACUGAAGGAAUAA